GUGUAACGAGUAACGACAACAAUAUAAUUUACUAGUUUUUCUAUUAAAGAUCUGUUUUUUUUUACUAGUUUUCUCCACUAAAAUCAAUUCUACACGGAGAUUCGAUUCUAAGCUGUUUCAGUCCCACGAUCUCGGAUUUGUUCUCUCCGUACGUACGAAUGGAAGCUUCGAUUUCGUUAAUUGGGUCAACUACAAAGCCUAACCUUUCAUCACUUAUUAUCCCUUCUUCUUCCAUCGUCCUCCAUCCUCGUCUCCCUCUUCCUGCUUUGAGGCUGAAGAAAGUCUCAGUCUUUCCUCGAAUCUCCCACCGUAACCGCCUCAUCAGAGCUCAGUGCUCAGAUGGGUUGAGACCAGAGGAAGACGAUGGGUUUGUGCUAGAAGACGUCCCUCACUUGACAACCUUCCUCCCUGAUUUGCCGUCGUACCCAAAUCCAUUGAAGGAAAGCCAAGCAUACGCCAUUGUUAAGCGAACCUUUGUCAGUUCCGAAGAUGUGGUUCCACAAAACAUUGUAGUCCAGAAGGGAAGUAAGCGAGGAGUACACUUUAGGCGAGCAGGGCCUCGAGAAAGAGUGUACUUUAGAUCAGAUGAAGUAAAAGCUUGCAUAGUGACGUGUGGGGGCUUGUGCCCUGGGAUUAAUACGGUUAUACGGGAGAUUGUAUGUGGAUUGAACAAUAUGUAUGGAGUCAGUAAUAUUCUCGGCAUUCAGGGAGGAUAUAAAGGCUUUUAUUCUAAAAACACUAUGACCUUGACGCCUAAAGUGGUUAAUGAUAUUCAUAAACGUGGUGGCACUUUUCUUCAAACCUCGAGAGGAGGACAUGAUACAGCCAAGAUUGUUGAUAACAUUCAAGAUAGAGGAAUAAAUCAGGUGUAUAUUAUUGGAGGUGAUGGGACUCAAAAGGGUGCAGAGAAGAUUUACCAGGAAGUGGAGAGGCGUGGGCUUCAGGUGGCGGUUUCUGGCAUCCCCAAGACAAUUGAUAAUGAUAUUGCUGUGAUUGACAAAUCCUUUGGGUUUGACACUGCUGUUGAGGAAGCUCAGAGAGCUAUCAAUGCUGCACAUGUAGAAGUGGAGAGCGUGGAGAAUGGAGUUGGUAUUGUUAAACUCAUGGGCAGAUACAGCGGUUUUAUUGCAAUGAUUGCAACUUUAGCGAACCGUGAUGUGGAUUGUUGCCUGAUUCCAGAGUCUCCAUUCUACCUUGAAGGAAAAGGUGGGCUGUUUGAGUUUGUAGAACAACGACUCAAAGAGAAUAGCCACAUGGUUAUUGUGAUAGCCGAAGGAGCUGGGCAGGACUAUGUUGCUCAAAGCAUGCGUGCUUCUGAAACUAAAGAUGCGUCAGGAAAUAGACUCUUGCUUGAUGUUGAAACAUUCGAGAUGAGUUUUUGUGAACACAACGUUGCAGGAUCAUUUCACAAAUGUUCGGAAAAUGACUAUAAACAUGAAGUACAUAGAUCCGACGUAUAUGAUAAGAGCAAUUCCGAGUAACGCGUCAGAUAAUGUCUAUUGCACUCUUCUUGCUCAAAGUGCACUUCAUGGAGCAAUGGCUGGGUACUCAGGUUUCACCGUUGGACCAGUUAACAGCAGACAUGCUUACAUCCCUAUUUCUCGAGUGACAGAAGUGACCAAUACGGUGAAGUUAACGGAUAGGAUGUGGGCUAGACUUCUUGCAUCAACAAAUCAACCGAGUUUCUUGACUGGUGCAGGAGCGUUGCAGAAUGUGAUCGACAUGGAAACUCAAGAUAAGAUUGAUAACAUGAAGAUCUCUUCUAUCUAGCUAGAAACAGGCCACCUUAUAUAUAUCAUCAACUGUUGCUAGACCAUAUGCAUAGAAGAUAUAUCUCUUUGUCGACAACCAUGGAGUAUUUCAUUGGUUACAAGAACUCUUUGGUUAUAGCUUAUUCGCAAUAAUAGUACUCAAUUUAGAUGUAAACACACGGAUCUUUUGUCUCUCUCUAUCUAUCUAUCUCUCUGCUAGUUUAAUA
This is an RNA transcript of Brassica oleracea var. oleracea, 1978 nucleotides long. It is a transcript of the gene named ATP-dependent 6-phosphofructokinase 4, chloroplastic, with no coding region annotated. Lineage: Eukaryota; Viridiplantae; Streptophyta; Magnoliopsida; Brassicales; Brassicaceae. The record is from RefSeq and is a predicted model, not a curated record. The transcript is spliced from 13 exons.